This 492-nucleotide ribosomal RNA is filed under the name uncultured bacterium. RNAcentral describes it as "partial 16S ribosomal RNA". It matches the Rfam family "Bacterial small subunit ribosomal RNA", at positions 29 to 507 of the family's 1533-position model. The record is from RNAcentral.
AGUGAACGCUGGCGGUAGGCCUAACACAUGCAAGUCGAACGGCAGCACAGUAAGAGCUUGCUCUUACGGGUGGCGAGUGGCGGACGGGUGAGGAAUACAUCGGAAUCUACUUUUUCGUGGGGGAUAACGUAGGGAAACUUCCGCUAAUACCGCAUACGACCUACGGUUGAAAGCAGGGGAUCUUCGGCCCUUGCGCGAUUGAAUGAGCCGAUGUCGGAUUAGCUAGUUGGCGGGGUAAAGGCCCACCAAGGCGACGAUCCGUAGCUGGUCUGAGAGGAUGAUCAGCCACACUGGAACUGAGACACGGUCCAGACUCCUACGGGAGGCAGCAGUGGGGAAUAUUGGACAAUGGGCGCAAGCCUGAUCCAGCCAUACCGCGUGGGUGAAGAAGGCCUUCGGGUUGUAAAGCCCUUUUGUUGGGAAAGAAAAGCAGCAGGUUAAUACCCCGCUGUUCUGACGGUACCCAAAGAGUAAGCACCGGCUAACUUCGUG